This 46-nucleotide small RNA is filed under the name human gut metagenome. RNAcentral's name for it is "Acido-Lenti-1 RNA". It matches the Rfam family "Acido-Lenti-1 RNA". The record is from RNAcentral.
CCCAGGGCUUACGCCCUGGGCUGAUUUAUGUCGCGCUUUCAGCGCU